RNAcentral lists this ribosomal RNA (640 nucleotides) under Salmonella enterica subsp. enterica serovar Weltevreden. RNAcentral's name for it is "bacterial SSU rRNA". It matches the Rfam family "Bacterial small subunit ribosomal RNA", at positions 893 to 1533 of the family's 1533-position model. Lineage: Bacteria; Pseudomonadati; Pseudomonadota; Gammaproteobacteria; Enterobacterales; Enterobacteriaceae. The record is from RNAcentral.
GUUAAAACUCAAAUGAAUUGACGGGGGCCCGCACAAGCGGUGGAGCAUGUGGUUUAAUUCGAUGCAACGCGAAGAACCUUACCUGGUCUUGACAUCCACAGAACUUUCCAGAGAUGGACUGGUGCCUUCGGGAACCGUGAGACAGGUGCUGCAUGGCUGUCGUCAGCUCGUGUUGUGAAAUGUUGGGUUAAGUCCCGCAACGAGCGCAACCCUUAUCCUUUGUUGCCAGCGGUCCGGCCGGGAACUCAAAGGAGACUGCCAGUGAUAAACUGGAGGAAGGUGGGGAUGACGUCAAGUCAUCAUGGCCCUUACGACCAGGGCUACACACGUGCUACAAUGGCGCAUACAAAGAGAAGCGACCUCGCGAGAGCAAGCGGACCUCAUAAAGUGCGUCGUAGUCCGGAUUGGAGUCUGCAACUCGACUCCAUGAAGUCGGAAUCGCUAGUAAUCGUGGAUCAGAAUGCCACGGUGAAUACGUUCCCGGGCCUUGUACACACCGCCCGUCACACCAUGGGAGUGGGUUGCAAAAGAAGUAGGUAGCUUAACCUUCGGGAGGGCGCUUACCACUUUGUGAUUCAUGACUGGGGUGAAGUCGUAACAAGGUAACCGUAGGGGAACCUGCGGUUGGAUCACCUCCUUA